This 784-nucleotide ribosomal RNA is filed under the name uncultured Neocallimastigales. Its description in RNAcentral is "partial large subunit ribosomal RNA". It matches the Rfam family "Eukaryotic large subunit ribosomal RNA", at positions 24 to 643 of the family's 3401-position model. Lineage: Eukaryota; Fungi; Neocallimastigomycota; Neocallimastigomycetes; Neocallimastigales. The record is from RNAcentral.
UAUCUCUGUAGAGUCUGCAUAUCAAUAAGCGGAGGAAAAGAAACUAACUAAGGAUUCCCUCAGUAACGGCGAGUGAAGCGGGAAGAGCUCAAAUUUGAAAUCUUCAAGGGUUCUACCUCUACGAAUUGUAGUUUAAAGAAGUGUUUUCUGUUGAGGUUUCGGUAAAAGUUCUUUGGAAUAGGACAUCAUAGAGGGUGAGAAUCCCGUAUUUGACCAUUACUUUCCAACUUUGUGAUACACUUUCAAAGAGUCGGAUUGUUUGGGAAUGCAGUCCAAAAUGGGUGGUAAAUUUCAUCUAAAGCUAAAUACUGGCGAGAGACCGAUAGCGAACAAGUACCGUGAGGGAAAGAUGAAAAGAACUUUGAAAAGAGAGUUAAACAGUACGUGAAAUUGUCAAAAGGGAAGCGUUUGACACCAGUGUUGGUUUUCUCGAAAAUCAAUUAAAGAAGCAGGAUUCUGUAAGUUGUAUUAGACUUUAUCAGCUUAACUGCCUCGUUUCUUGUCUUUUUUAAUGCACUUUUCAGUUUAACAAGUCAACAUCAAUUUCUUUUGUUGUAAAAAGGUCAUUGAGGAAGGUGGCUUGCGAUUUCGUAUAAGUGUUUAUAGCCUCUUGCCUCUGCAGUCGGAGAGAUUGAGGAUCUGCAGCGUAGAUCCUUCGGGGUUAAUAGCACUUGUGCUAAGUUGUAGCUCUUCAUAGACAACAUGUUGACUAUGUUUAGUCAUGCGGCUUACUCGCUUAUGCUAUUUUACCUACGCUUAGGAUGUUGAAGAUGUAGCACAUCAU